GUGGGGAAUAUUGGGCAAUGGGCGCAAGCCUGACCCAGCAACGCCGCGUGAAGGAUGAAGGCUUUCGGGUUGUAAACUUCUUUUAUCAGGGACGAAAUAAAUGACGGUACCUGAUGAAUAAGCCACGGCUAACUACGUGCCAGCAGCCGCGGUAAUACGUAGGUGGCGAGCGUUAUCCGGAUUUACUGGGUGUAAAGGGCGUGUAGGCGGGACUGCAAGUCAGGUGUGAAAACCACGGGCUCAACCUGUGGCCUGCAUUUGAAACUGUAGUUCUUGAGUGCUGGAGAGGCAAUCGGAAUUCCGUGUGUAGCGGUGAAAUGCGUAGAUAUACGGAGGAACACCAGUGGCGAAGGCGGAUUGCUGGACAGUAACUGACGCUGAGGCGCGAAAGCGUGGGGAGCAAACAGGAUUAGAAACCCUAGUAGUCC
Molecule: ribosomal RNA, 428 nt
Filed under: uncultured bacterium
Lineage: Bacteria
Description: bacterial SSU rRNA
Rfam family: Bacterial small subunit ribosomal RNA
Source: RNAcentral